AGGACCAGUCUGAGGCUGCAGGGA
This 24-nucleotide non-coding RNA is filed under the name Cricetulus griseus (Chinese hamster). Lineage: Eukaryota; Metazoa; Chordata; Mammalia; Rodentia; Cricetidae. The record is from RNAcentral.